GUUCAAUCCGCUGUGACGACCACUGAUGAUGAGGGACUAAGCCGAAGGAAAAUGAAUGAAUGAAUUAUUAUUAUUAUAACUAUUAUUAAAAUCUUUCUGAUUACAGGAUAAGACCUUUUAUAUUUUGGAUUUAUUUCUGACUGCAUCAUCAUGUUUCUGAUUUCAUCGCAUCUGCUGUUGUUCCUAUCACUCCUGGCUCAAUCCAGAGCACAAACAACAAUAGACACUACAGAAAUCACCACUGUAGACCCCAAAUCGUUGUCGUUCUAAAA
Molecule: non-coding RNA, 272 nt
Organism: Danio rerio (zebrafish)
Lineage: Eukaryota; Metazoa; Chordata; Actinopteri; Cypriniformes; Danionidae
Source: RefSeq, a predicted model, not a curated record